GACGGGGGGGGCAAGUGUUCUUCGGAAUGACUGGGCGUAAAGGGCGCGUAGGCUGAGAUGCCAGUCAGAUGUGAAAGCCCGGGGCUCAACCCCGGAACAGCAUUUGAAACUACAUCUCUAGAGGGUAGGCGGAGAAAACGGAAUUCCACAAGUAGCGGUGAAAUGCGUAGAUAUGUGGAAGAACACCAGUGGCGAAGGCAGCUCUCUGGGUCCCUACCGACGCUGGAGUGCGAAAGCAUGGGGAGCGAACGGG
Molecule: ribosomal RNA, 253 nt
Filed under: uncultured bacterium
Lineage: Bacteria
Description: partial 16S ribosomal RNA
Rfam family: Bacterial small subunit ribosomal RNA
Source: RNAcentral